CAGAGGUGGAAGAGAAGGGAACGGAGAGAUAGAUAUGGGAUGAACGGUGGAAUAGGUGGUACAGAGAGUUUCAGUGGCCCCUGAGGUCGAACUCCUCUAUCAGCUGGAAAUACACCGCUCACUCACCUCGGUACCGAACAGUCUUGCGUGGGAUGGGGUUCCAGUUGAGACCCAGCGACUUCUCCCAUCCAACCAGAAACACCAGGAGCAAGACCUUGGUCCCGCCCAUGGCUCCCAUGUCAGCUCCCAUUCGUCGGGAACUGGCGUUGGCGUGAUGGAUCGAGGGAUCAAUCAGUUGAUCAGAGGAACUGGAUAGAGCAGCCCGGCUCCUGGCAGCCUGCCGAGAGAAAGAAAAACCAACGCAUCAGCUGGAAGCAGCAAUUCACUUCCUUUAUUGGCUCGGUUGUUUAUCAGAAUCCAUUCUUUCCAGAACAGUAUUUACAACUUGCACAUUUUUACACAACAAAAAAACAUUUUAUUAAUGACUUUUGGCGGAGGGAGUUUAUCCUUCCCUCACUCUGAGCGAUAAUCCAGCUAUCGCCACUCAGAAAUAGCUUGUCUUGUCAAGCCAAUUCAGCAGCAGUAUAUUAAACUAGGGCUGAGUUAUCAAAGGUAAUUGGCGCUGGCAACGCAUCAAACAAAGUGUUGAGAAAUGAAUGUCAAGGCAAGGACAAUCCAAUAGCACUGUGUUGUAAAUGAAUUGGUUUAUACCUAAUGAACAUGUCAAGUGUGCGGCUACAGAGCGACAUUACAGUCCAAUAACAGCACAGGAUGAUUGACUUGUUACACUACUGCUGCUGCUGCUGCUGCUGCUACCGAGACUGACGCACAGCGCCAGAGGAGGAAUUUUACAUAAAAAUAGUACUUACACGCUUACAAUGACACACUCUCAAGUUUUUGUAUGCUUGCGAGGACCUGCCAGCCCAUUAACUUUUACCGUAUGUCACAUCGUUACUUAUUGUGUGAACUCAGUGACAUCAAUUAGCGGCAGAAACGCAUUAAUUCAAGGUGCAACAUGUUAAGUUUAACCGUGAACAGCCUUAGAUUACAUUCAUUUAUUUUUAUCAGUAGAGUGUUGAAGUGUGAAAAUAACUUUUUUUCAAUAAUGUUGGAUUUGCUGCAGCCACCUGUGCUGAUAAACCACAAUCAAUGAUGCCAAGUUCAAAAAGAAAUUACAUGUUCUGCUUGUUUUUCCAAAAAAAGUGUGUUAUAAAAGUGUUAUUGGACGGUCGUAUUCAUUAAAAAAAUCUACACUGA
Perca flavescens (yellow perch) is the source of this 1257-nucleotide long non-coding RNA. RefSeq lists it as uncharacterized. The transcript is spliced from 2 exons. NCBI's taxonomy places the organism in Eukaryota, Metazoa, Chordata, Actinopteri, Perciformes, Percidae. The record is from RefSeq and is a predicted model, not a curated record.